This is a non-coding RNA of Neolamprologus brichardi, 420 nucleotides long. The record is from RefSeq and is a predicted model, not a curated record. Lineage: Eukaryota; Metazoa; Chordata; Actinopteri; Cichliformes; Cichlidae.
UAUGUUUUCUGUGUGUGUGUUUGCUUCUCCCUCUCUCCCUCCCCGGUCCUCGGGCUGUUUACGGAAGUGCGCGCCGUGGGAGAGGCGUGUCCUGGCGACUGUCGUCAAUGGGAGUCCCUCUUCGCUGUUGCCGGCCACCUGCAGCUGAUUACCUGACCAGCCGUUGGUAAUCAUUCCUCCCGGCUAGAAAGAGGUAUUUAACCUGGACUCGCGGCGACAGUCGACGUGGGAUUAUUACUCCGAACUGGAGGGGCAAGCGGAGAAGCGAGUUGGGGAGCACACACACUAAGGGAGUUACAACACGGAAUGCACUGGGAGCAAGGGACGAGCACGAUUGGAAAAUUGCACUUUUGAGUGAAUUGUUGGACUUGCCUGUCUGUUUCACUGUAAAUAAACGCACUGUGUUUCUAUGAAGAAGAA